This 1159-nucleotide long non-coding RNA is filed under the name Felis catus (domestic cat). RNAcentral describes it as "lncRNA (ENSFCAG00000049641.1)". Lineage: Eukaryota; Metazoa; Chordata; Mammalia; Carnivora; Felidae. The record is from RNAcentral.
AGGGUGCAAUGCAGAAGGUCAGGGUUCUUUUGUUUUUUUUUUUUUCCAUUUUAAUAAUGAUGUCCAGAGAUGCUGUAAAACAAUAAGAAUGCUUAUAGAGUUCUUUGUGCUUGUUGCCAAGAGACUAGAACUUCAACCUACUCAACUGUAAAAUACAUUCUUUAGCACACAGCUUAGCCUAUCCAAUCCCAAGGCAUAAUGCCAUGAAUACGAAUCCCUCUUUGUCCUCAGUCUAUUUGCCUUCCUGGGGCCCACAGAUGCCCUUCUAAUGGCAGCCCUCCAGAUUGCACCUCUUCUAAGUGCCCACUGCUUGGGAAACCAGGAAUUAUUAGCCUGCUUUACUGUAUGUACCUCGCAACCUAAUUAAAAUCUACACCUUCAAUGUUUCAUUGCAGGAAGCACUAUUGCAAGAAUGACUAUCUGUUCUAACAAGCUCAACUCGGUGAAGAACAGAUAUAAUCAGUUCCUGCAUUUUUUAUUUCUGAUGACCCUGGAUAGAAUGCGCAUAGAAGUUUUCCUGAUAACACUCUGUGUCCAGCAGAGUUAGUACUAAAGAUGAAACUUGUUUGUCAUUCCUACUCUAAAAAUUAAAGAGAAGAUUUUAAUUUAUGCUUAAUUGUUGUAUUCCUUCAAUUUUACUUCAAAUAGAAUAACUUCUGGAGCUAUCGAUGAAAAUAAGCAAAUAUUUAGCCCACAUUUACUCUUUUAAUAGAGAGUUCUAUUUUUCCAGAAAAGCAAUUUAAGAAUUGGAUCAGUUUUUGUUUUGUUUUGCUUUGUUUUUAAUAACCUUUAUUUUUUAGAGCAGCUUUUGUUUCCCAGCAAAACUGAGCAGAAAGUAGAAAGAUUUCCCAUAUACCCUAGCCUCACACAACCUCCCCCAUUAUGAACAUCCUGCACCACACUGGUACAUUGCUUAAAAUAAUGAAUAUAACCUCUCUCAAAAAAAAAAAAAAAAAAAAAAAAAGGAAGGAGGGGCACCUGAGUGGCUCAGUCAGUUAAGGUUCUGCCUUGAUUUUAGCUCAGAUCAUGAUCUCAUAGUCAUGAGAUCAAGCCCUGCAUCAGACUGAACAUGGAGCCUGCUUAAGAUUCUCUCUCUUUCACCCAAAACCAGCAGAACACAGGUAAUAAAGAUUAGAGCAUAAAUUAAUGCUAUCGAAAC